Pongo pygmaeus (Bornean orangutan) is the source of this 1004-nucleotide long non-coding RNA. RefSeq lists it as uncharacterized. Lineage: Eukaryota; Metazoa; Chordata; Mammalia; Primates; Hominidae. The record is from RefSeq and is a predicted model, not a curated record. The transcript is spliced from 3 exons.
AAGUCAAGGAACUCUCACUGCGCCCUUGUUUGGACAAGACGAGGAGACGCACUCAGAGUCAGAGACCCCGGCGCAUAGGCAGGGGCAAGAAGAAGGGGCCACCGAGACCCCAAAAGAGUCACGGAGACAGACGGACAAAACGACCGACACAACCAGGGACAGCAGGGAGGAAAAGUUGCCUAUCUGUUGGGUCAGAUUUCUGAAGACUGAUGAGGCCCAUUUUCUGACAAAUGGCAAGAGUUUACAAAGUACCAGUGACGUGCCUGAUAGAAUCUCCCCACAAGAUGGAAGCCAACUUAUCAGAAGCCUGGAAAGCCCACCCAGCGUGGGACCUCUGUGGGUCCAGGAUCUUGGAAUGGCAUCCCAUGGUUUAAUCUUCCAGAUUCAACCAAAUAAAUUUACCCCACCAUGUCGUGGACCCAAGCUUCCUACCAUGUAUCCUUAGCUUAAAUGCAAGAUAGUGCUAUUUUGUUCAUCUUGAUUGGAGUGAGAAAUGAAUAGGUCCAUGCACAUAUAUUUCUUUUACCACAACAAGAUGAUGAAGAAAUAAAUCCAUAAUAUUGAUACUUUUGUAUAAGUUGUGUUUACAGUUGCAGUAAGAAAUUUUAUAAUCGUUGAUUUGCUUUAUAUAAUUUCUGCUUGCUUUUUAUGAUAUUUAAAACAAAAUCUAAGCAACAAAUUUUAUGUCUGAUUAGAUUUACAGAAGCUGCUUAAGUGCUUAGGGAUAAUUUGUUCAUCAUACUUGUAAGUCUCCCUUGUUAGGUGUUUGAAGUGUUUGAAUUGGCUAAAUUAAAUUUGUAAUUGUAGUUUGAAAUAUCUAAAGGGAUUUUCUUAAUUAAAUGUUUAAAUGAUGUUAAAAGUUCGUGGGAAUUUAAUCUAUCAAAUUUAUGAGUUAAUUGAAUAUGAAUCAAUAAACAAGUAAAUGUGAUCUUGCUUUUAUAUAAAAACUACCAAGUUCAUAAAUAAAAUACAAAGAUCCAUAAGUUGAGAGGAAAAGCAAAAGA